Molecule: ribosomal RNA, 311 nt
Filed under: Centrothele mutica
Lineage: Eukaryota; Metazoa; Arthropoda; Arachnida; Araneae; Lamponidae
Description: partial 12S ribosomal RNA
Source: RNAcentral
AGGUAAUAACAAUAUUCAAACCUACUUAUUUUGGUGGCAUCUAACCUACUUAGAGGAACUUGUUUAAUAAUCGACAUUACACGAUAAACUUCACUAAAAAUUAAAACUUAUAUACCGCCGUCUAAAGAACUAAUUAUAAAAUAUUAUUCUUAAUAAAAAAUAAAAAGUUAGGUCAAGGUGUAGUCUAUUUUUUAGAAAAAAUGAGUUACUUUAAAAAAAACUUAAGGAUUAGUAAUUUAAUAUUACUUUAAAAAAGGAUUUAAUAGUAUUAUUUAAAUAAUAAUUUCAUAUGAAAUAGACAAUAGAUGUAU